GAGAGCCCGGUGCGGUGAGAAUCGCACGCCGGGUUCGGCGGGCGGCCCGGGGAAACGGACCCCGAGCAAUCCGGGCACCGCGCCCCGGGCCGACCCAAC
Molecule: non-coding RNA, 99 nt
Filed under: Nostocoides jenkinsii Ben 74
Lineage: Bacteria; Bacillati; Actinomycetota; Actinomycetes; Micrococcales; Intrasporangiaceae
Source: RNAcentral